UAUUAUUUUUUUUCUUUCAAAGUUUCAAAAUGAGAGAGUAGGUUUCCUUCUCUUUAAAAGACCUAACUCAUUUCUUCACUUCUUCAGAGAUUAGGUUUGUUCCUCUAAGAUACCUAAUUUAUUCAGAGGAAGAAAAGAAGGGUGAAGAAGAAGAGCAGAAAGCGCAUGUUCUUCAGGUGUUCUUCAGGUAUGGGGAGAAUGUAAGAGGUGGCACAGUUGGUUGAUUGAACAUGUUCGAAGUAUCGAGACUUUUGCAACCGUAAUUUUUGAUGGAAGCAAUGAGACAAACAGUAUAAUCUCUUAUAUCGUAUUGUCAAGGAAUUUGAAAUGGAUCAGGCUCUUGAUCGCAAGGAAGGAGAAGCUGAAGCCAUUUUUGAAGAAUUGAUAAGUGAAGAAAGUAUGGAUGAACAUAACUCUUCACUAAUUCAAUUUCACAUUAAACUUUUGGCAUUGAUCCUAAGUGAUUCGGAAAAAGAGUCUCGAUUCUCACUUACGAAGAGUGAAACUAAUUCAUGGUUAAAACAUUUGGAGGGUUUAAUGAUGCAAUGGCAUAUUUUCCAAAUGUUUUUCCUGUGAAUUGAUUUCAAAAGGGCAUAAGUGGAUAUUGUAAGUUGGAUUUGUCUAAAAGGUUUAGACUAAUGACUUUUCUCCGUGAGGAAGCCUUUGAACACAGAGAAACUGAGAAGAUAUAUUCAAGAUGAAAAUUCAAGACAAGCAAAAGUAGUAAAAGAAGUGAAACUUAAGAUUGAUGCAACUAAGGAAACGAUAAUAUACAACAAGGUGUUAUGAUGCUCUUUGUAUAUGGAUUAUCCUUGCUGUUACAGUGUGUUCAUAACAAAUGUGUGUGCAUGAUAUAUACAGGUAAAGAUAUAAGAACCCAGGUUGAUGAAGCACACACGGAUAUGCUAAGGUUAAAGAGCACAAAUCAAAAAGGUAUGUCAUGAUUAAUGGAUUAUGAGUUAUGCAUCAUUCAUGUUAUCUAGGCUAAGCCGCAUGCUUCCUUUCUACCUUGGUUGCAGGACCAAAAGAUGUAAGUGCUCUCAAACAAGUUUGUAGGAGUUUAUGUUUUAUGUUAAUUGUUCUUAAUAGAAUGAUGCUUGCCAAAACCCUCACUGCAUCAUGGUUUUGGUGGAUAUCUCUAUGUGGUGGUUGUUCCUCAUUUGUUUUUGGAUACAAGGGACCUUAAUUAUUGUUAUCAUUGUAUAUAUAUUUUUUGUAUUUUAUUUUAGUGAAAUACGAAAUGAAAUUAAUUUUUUAAUUUAAUUACUAUUAUGGUUGUAUUUUUAAUUUGGUAAAUGUACAGUGAUAUACUAUUCAUGGUAUUAUUCAUGGAAAAGUGAUGUAUGUAUUCUGAAUA
Vigna unguiculata (cowpea) is the source of this 1357-nucleotide long non-coding RNA. Lineage: Eukaryota; Viridiplantae; Streptophyta; Magnoliopsida; Fabales; Fabaceae. The record is from RefSeq and is a predicted model, not a curated record.